RNAcentral lists this ribosomal RNA (496 nucleotides) under uncultured bacterium. RNAcentral describes it as "partial 16S ribosomal RNA". It matches the Rfam family "Bacterial small subunit ribosomal RNA", at positions 28 to 506 of the family's 1533-position model. The record is from RNAcentral.
GAUGAACGCUGGCGGCGUGCCUAAUACAUGCAAGUCGAGCGAACGGACGAGAAGCUUGCUUCUCUGAUGUUAGCGGCGGACGGGUGAGUAACACGUGGAUAACCUACCUAUAAGACUGGGAUAACUUCGGGAAACCGGAGCUAAUACCGGAUAAUAUUUUGAACCGCAUGGUUCAAAAGUGAAAGACGGUCUUGCUGUCACUUAUAGAUGGAUCCGCGCUGCAUUAGCUAGUUGGUAAGAUAACGGCUUACCAAGGCAACGAUGCAUAGCCGACCUGAGAGGGUGAUCGGCCACACAGGAACUGAGACACGGUCCAGACUCCUACGGGAGGCAGCAGUAGGGAAUCUUCCGCAAUGGGCGAAAGCCUGACGGAGCAACGCCGCGUGAGUGAUGAAGGUCUUCGGAUCGUAAAACUCUGUUAUUAGGGAAGAACAUAUGUGUAAGUAACUGUGCACAUCUUGACGGUACCUAAUCAGAAAGCCACGGCUAACUACGU